Molecule: long non-coding RNA, 605 nt
Filed under: Mytilus galloprovincialis (Mediterranean mussel)
Lineage: Eukaryota; Metazoa; Mollusca; Bivalvia; Mytilida; Mytilidae
Source: RNAcentral
AAAUGCAUUUACGUUUGAUAACUGUAUAUUGAUUUGGGGUAUGAUCUACAUAUCAUAUAUAAAUAUGCUAUUGAGAAUCUUACAUUAUUAAUGGUCAAUAUAUAACGAUAAAAUAUAUGUGCACCAAACGAUGUCAAUUCAUAUAUAAAAACUUAAGGGUAGCUGGUAUAUUUAUGAAUUAUGAGUGAUGCUGAGUUAGUGCUUAUAUAAGCAAUGGGUCAUAUUUUAAAUAUUGUAUAUAAGUAUAGGUCAUUCUUUCUUAAAUAUUUAUAUAACUAUAGGUACUGAAUUUCAGUGAAUGUUAUAUUAAAAUGGGUACGUUUUUUGAGGCAAAAUUGGCACACCCCUACCAAAAAAAUAUCAAAGUUACCCCCUCCCCCCGUGCUUGCUGCAAGCUUGCGGCAAACAAAAAGUUUGCAGGAACACAGAAAAUAGUGUUUGCAGAUGUUUGCCGCUAGCUGCAAACUUCCGGCAAACAUUGCUGCAAGCUUGCGGCAAGUUUGCAGAAACAUCAAUGUUUGCCGUAAGAUUGCCAGAAAGUUUAAAAUAAUAAAGAAUGUUUGCCGCAAGAUUGCAGAAAACUUUGACCAUUCUAUAUGUUUGCC